This 490-nucleotide long non-coding RNA is filed under the name Rattus norvegicus (Norway rat). Its description in RNAcentral is "long non-coding RNA NONRATT029890". The record is from RNAcentral. Lineage: Eukaryota; Metazoa; Chordata; Mammalia; Rodentia; Muridae.
CUAGAUUCCCCAGAUAGCAGCUUCCUGCCACACGUUUUAGGCAUCUCUAUUUAUGUAUCAUAUACUAUGGUGUUCACGUAGCCAGUUGCAAGUAAGUUACAGGCUGUGUUCUGAACCCGUUGGUGUCCUGAAAAGGCCAUAAUCUUCCAAGGAAAUAAGAACAUUGGUGUAGAGCUGCAGUAGAGCUUUUAGAGUCGAGCAUUACUAUAAUUCUGCCCACUCGUCCACAGUGGUGAGUCUCCUCAAUUUCCCAGCCUAUCUGACGACGUGGAAGAAGGAAGCUUUUGCUCUGUGCCUUCUUGCUAUCAGCUUGUUAGCAAGUCCAUUCCUUCACUAGGAUCCCAGCACCUCUACUGAAGACCAGUUGAAACCUCCAGCCUUGUGGAUGGACUAAGGGGAUUCUGGAUUCAUGAAUUUUCCAUUUAUAGCAAGCCAUUGGAUUAGCCAGACCAUAUAGCCUGUAAAUUAUUCAAAUAAAUCCCCUUUCUAU